Molecule: ribosomal RNA, 253 nt
Filed under: uncultured bacterium
Lineage: Bacteria
Description: partial 16S ribosomal RNA
Rfam family: Bacterial small subunit ribosomal RNA
Source: RNAcentral
UACGUAGGGUGCAGGCGUUAAUCGGAAUUACUGGGCGUAAAGCGUGCGCAGGCGGUUUCUUAAGUCAGAUGUGAAAGCCCCGGGCUUAACCUGGGAACUGCGUUUGAAACUGGGAGACUUGAGUGUGGCAGAGGGGGGUGGAAUUCCACGUGUAGCAGUGAAAUGCGUAGAGAUGCGGAGGAACACCGAUGGCGAAGGCAGCCCCCUGGGUUAACACUGACGCUCAGGCACGAAAGCGUGGGGAGCAAACAGG